This 480-nucleotide ribosomal RNA is filed under the name uncultured bacterium. RNAcentral describes it as "partial 16S ribosomal RNA". It matches the Rfam family "Bacterial small subunit ribosomal RNA", at positions 28 to 507 of the family's 1533-position model. The record is from RNAcentral.
GAUGAACGCUAGCGGCAGGCCUAACACAUGCAAGUCGAGGGGUAGAAGGAGCUUGCUCCUUUGAGACCGGCGCACGGGUGCGUAACGCGUAUGCAAUCUACCUUGUACAGGGGAAUAGCCCAGAGAAAUUUGGAUUAAUGCCCCAUAGUAUAUAACCUUCGCAUGUUGGUUAUAUUAAAGUUCCAACGGUACAAGAUGAGCAUGCGUCCCAUUAGUUAGUUGGUAAGGUAACGGCUUACCAAGACGAUGAUGGGUAGGGGUCCUGAGAGGGAGAUCCCCCACACUGGUACUGAGAAACGGACCAGAAUCCUACGGGAGGCAGCAGUUAGGAAUAUUGGUCAAUGGUCGCAAGACUGAACCAGCCAUGCCGCGUGCAGGAAGACGGUCCUAUGGAUUGUAAACUGCUUUUAUACAGGAAGAAACCCUCCCACGUGUGGGAGCUUGACGGUACUGUAGGAAUAAGAAUCGGCUAACUCCGUG